This 67-nucleotide transfer RNA is filed under the name Manocoreus sp. RNAcentral's name for it is "tRNA-Phe". Lineage: Eukaryota; Metazoa; Arthropoda; Insecta; Hemiptera; Coreidae. The record is from RNAcentral.
AUUUGGGUAACUUAAGUUUAAAGUAUAAUAUUGAAGCUAUUAAUAUAAGAGUUAAUCUUCCCAAGUG